Molecule: long non-coding RNA, 684 nt
Organism: Corticium candelabrum
Lineage: Eukaryota; Metazoa; Porifera; Homoscleromorpha; Homosclerophorida; Plakinidae
Exons: 3
Source: RefSeq, a predicted model, not a curated record
GUGUGUGUGUGUGUGUGUGUGUGUGUGUGUAUUCAUAUGGCUGUUUACUCAAUUGGAAAAGUGUCAUCUCAUAGCAUUGGUACAUUCAAGACACAUUUAUGCAUGAACUACUAUCGUCCUAGCAAUGAUGAGCUAGAGGAUAAUUUCUUGGACAAGAAACUCCUAUCUUUGCCUCAUUUGAUUCUAGUGUAUAUAUUGAGUAACUGGUAUUUUAUUGGGGUGGACAAGGUCUGUGACUGUUGUUGUCGACAAGAACUGUCUGGCUUGCUGCAUUCUGGGUGUUCUGACCAUUACUGAUGGCCAUGUGAAGUAUGGUAUAUGUUAGUCUGCAUGUUAAUGUGGCAGCUAUGGCAGAAUCUAACAUGUGUGGCUGUACUUAGAAAUGUGAGAGUGUUACCUGGGCCAUCAAGCUACACCUGGUACUGAAAUAAUCCAGGUAGCCAAGCAUGGUGUUUGGCCUUUUGUUGGCUAUGCCACAUUACUGGUUGAUGACACUUGAAAGACACCAUGUAUUUGAGACAACAGCAAAAUCAACAUGGUCCUUAAUACUUCUAAAAUGAUCUGUUGCCAGCCAGCUGACAGUUGUUUGGCUGAAAUUCUUUGUCAACAUUAUUAAUUAACAAUGAGUUGAUGUCUGCUACUUGUUAUGAGUUCAUUUGAAGCCAUGCUCUAACUAGAAGAAGG